UUCAACAUCUUCAUCUUAAAAUCGUUUUCUUUAGGUCCAAGUCAAGUGGCUAACUAAGUUUGAAGAGUAGAUAACCAUUUUUUAACAGUAGAUUACUACAUGGCUUAAUUAAUAUAUGUGUGGGAGCGAGAAGUGAGAGAGUAAGAGAGAGAGAGGAGUCAGAGAAGACAGUGGAUGGCGGUAGCGCUGCCGCUCACGGCGGCGGCAGUAGAGACACAGGCGGCGGCGGUCCAGGUUGUUCCGACGAGUGUCAAGGUAACCCCCCUCUCGCUUCCUUUUACCGUACU
RNAcentral lists this long non-coding RNA (287 nucleotides) under Helianthus annuus (common sunflower). Its description in RNAcentral is "sRNA HanXRQr2_Chr06g0265451". The record is from RNAcentral. Lineage: Eukaryota; Viridiplantae; Streptophyta; Magnoliopsida; Asterales; Asteraceae.